RNAcentral lists this ribosomal RNA (843 nucleotides) under uncultured Bacteroidota bacterium. Its description in RNAcentral is "bacterial SSU rRNA". It matches the Rfam family "Bacterial small subunit ribosomal RNA", at positions 34 to 870 of the family's 1533-position model. The record is from RNAcentral. Lineage: Bacteria; Pseudomonadati; Bacteroidota.
CGCUAGCUACAGGCUUAACACGUGCAAGUCGAGGGGCAGCGGGUUGAAAGCUUGCUUUCAAUGCCGGCGACCGGCGCACGGGUGCGUAACGCGUAUCAAACCUGCCUCAUACUCGGGGAUAGCCUUGCGAAAGUAAGAUUAAUACCCGAUGUUGUUGCUUUCUCGCAUGGGAGAGUAACCAAAGAUUUAUCGGUAUGAGAUGGUGAUGCGUCCGAUUAGGUAGUAGGCGGGGUAACGGCCCACCUAGCCUUCGAUCGGUAGGGGUUCUGAGAGGAAGGUCCCCCACACUGGAACUGAGACACGGUCCAGACUCCCACGGGAGGCAGCAGUGAGGAAUAUUGGUCAAUGGGCGAGAGCCUGAACCAGCCAAGUAGCGUGCAGGAUGACGGCCCUCCGGGUUGUAAACUGCUUUUAGUUGGGAAUAAAAAAAGGGACUUGUCCCUUCUUGUAUGUACCUUCAGAAAAAGGACCGGCUAAUUCCGUGCCAGCAGCCGCGGUAAUACGGAAGGUCCAGGCGUUAUCCGGAUUUAUUGGGUUUAAAGGGAGCGUAGGCGGAUUGUUAAGUCAGCGGUUAAAGGGUGUGGCUCAACCAUACAUUGCCGUUGAAACUGGCGAUCUUGAGUGCAGACAGGGAUGCCGGAAUUCGUGGUGUAGCGGUGAAAUGCUUAGAUAUCACGAAGAACUCCGAUCGCGAAGGCAGGUGUCCGGGCUGCAACUGACGCUGAGGCUCGAAAGUGUGGGUAUCAAACAGGAUUAGAUACCCUGGUAGUCCACACAGUAAACGAUGUAUACUCGCGGUUUGCGAUAGACAGUAAGCCGCCAAGCGAAAGCAUUAAGUAUACC